UACGUAGGUGGCAAGCGUUGUCCGGAAUUAUUGGGCGUAAAGCGCGCGCAGGCGGUCCUUUAAGUCUGAUGUGAAAGCCCACGGCUCAACCGUGGAGGGUCAUUGGAAACUGGGGGGACUUGAGUACAGAAGAGGAAAGCGGAAUUCCACGUGUAGCGGUGAAAUGCGUAGAGAUGUGGAGGAACACCAGUGGCGAAGGCGGCUUUCUGGUCUGUAACUGACGCUGAGGCGCGAAAGCGUGGGGAGCAAACAGG
This 254-nucleotide ribosomal RNA is filed under the name uncultured bacterium. RNAcentral's name for it is "partial 16S ribosomal RNA". It matches the Rfam family "Bacterial small subunit ribosomal RNA", at positions 524 to 776 of the family's 1533-position model. The record is from RNAcentral.